UACGUAGGGAGCAAGCGUUGUCCGGAAUUACUGGGCGUAAAGGGUGCGUAGGCGGCGCAGUUAGUCAGAAGUGAAAUAUCGGGGCUUAACCCCGGGGCUGCUUCUGAUACUGCUGUGCUCGAGUGCAGGAGAGGUAAGUGGAAUUCCUAGUGUAGCGGUGAAAUGCAUAGAUAUCACGCAGAACUCCGAUUGCGAAGGCAGCAUACCGGCGCCCAACUGACGCUGAAGCACGAAAGCGUGGGUAUCGAACAGG
RNAcentral lists this ribosomal RNA (253 nucleotides) under uncultured Eubacteriales bacterium. RNAcentral's name for it is "uncultured Clostridiales bacterium partial 16S ribosomal RNA". It matches the Rfam family "Bacterial small subunit ribosomal RNA", at positions 524 to 776 of the family's 1533-position model. The record is from RNAcentral. Lineage: Bacteria; Bacillati; Bacillota; Clostridia; Eubacteriales.